CGCAUCUGUGCAUGCAGCAUAUCAAUAAGCGGAGGAAAAGAAACUAACAAGGAUUCCCUUAGUAACGGCGAGCGAACCGGGAUAAGCCCACCAUGAGAAUCGGUCGCCCUCGGCGUUCGAAUUGUAGUCUGGAGAAGCGUCCUCAGCGGCGGACCGGGCCCAAGUCCCCUGGAAAGGGGCGCCGGAGAGGGUGAGAGCCCCGUUGUGCUCGGACCCUGUCGCACCACGAGGCGCUGUCGGCGAGGUCGGGUUGUUGGGGAAUGCAGCCCCAAUCGGGCGGUAAAUUCCGUCCAAGGCUAAAUAUUGGCGAGAGACCGAUAGCGAACAAGUACCGCGAGGGAAAGAUGAAAAGAACUUUGAAAAGAGAGUUAAACAGUACGUGAAAUUGUCAAAAGGGAAGCGUUUGACACCAGUGUUGUUUUUCUCGAAAAUCAAUUAAAAAGAGUUUGAUUUUGUUGUGUAUUGACCUUAACAGCUUGCAUUUCAAUUUUCUUGCUUUUUUUAAUGCACUUUUCGUUUAACAAGUCAACAUCAGUUUCUUUUGUUGUAAAAAGGUCAUUGGAAGGUGGCUUUCUUUUCGGAGAAAGUGUUUAUAGCCUUUGACUCCUGCAAUCGGAGAGACUGAGGUCUGCAGCGUAGAUCCUUCGGGGUUAGAUACAUUUGUGCUAAGUUAUAGCUUUUUAUAGACAACUUGUUGACUAUGAUUAGUCUUGUAGCUUACUCGCUUAUGCUAUUUUACCUACGCUUAGGAUGUUGAAGACUCUACAGAGAUA
This 773-nucleotide ribosomal RNA is filed under the name uncultured Neocallimastigales. RNAcentral describes it as "partial large subunit ribosomal RNA". It matches the Rfam family "Eukaryotic large subunit ribosomal RNA", at positions 26 to 634 of the family's 3401-position model. The record is from RNAcentral. Lineage: Eukaryota; Fungi; Neocallimastigomycota; Neocallimastigomycetes; Neocallimastigales.